This 1349-nucleotide ribosomal RNA is filed under the name uncultured bacterium. RNAcentral's name for it is "partial 16S ribosomal RNA". It matches the Rfam family "Bacterial small subunit ribosomal RNA", at positions 28 to 1381 of the family's 1533-position model. The record is from RNAcentral.
GACGAACGCUGGCGGCGUGCUUAACACAUGCAAGUCGAACGGAAAGGCCCUGCUUUUGUGGGGUGCUCGAGUGGCGAACGGGUGAGUAACACGUGAGUAACCUGCCCUUGACUUUGGGAUAACUUCAGGAAACUGGGGCUAAUACCGGAUAGGAGCUCCUGCUGCAUGGUGGGGGUUGGAAAGUUUCGGCGGUUGGGGAUGGACUCGCGGCUUAUCAGCUUGUUGGUGGGGUAGUGGCUUACCAAGGCUUUGACGGGUAGCCGGCCUGAGAGGGUGACCGGCCACAUUGGGACUGAGAUACGGCCCAGACUCCUACGGGAGGCAGCAGUGGGGAAUAUUGCACAAUGGGCGGAAGCCUGAUGCAGCAACGCCGCGUGCGGGAUGACGGCCUUCGGGUUGUAAACCGCUUUCGCCUGUGACGAAGCGUGAGUGACGGUAAUGGGUAAAGAAGCACCGGCUAACUACGUGCCAGCAGCCGCGGUGAUACGUAGGGUGCGAGCGUUGUCCGGAUUUAUUGGGCGUAAAGGGCUUCGUAGGUGGUUGAUCGCGUCGAAAGUGUAAUCUGGGGGGCUUAACCCUGAGCGUGCUUUCGAUACGGGGUUGACUUGAGAAGGGUAGGGGAGAAUGAAAUUCCUGGUGGAGCGGUGGAAUGCGCAGAUAUCAGGAGGAACACCAGUGGCGAAGGCGGUUCUCUGGGCCUUUCCUGACGCUGAGGAGCGAAAGCGUGGGGAGCGAACAGGCUUAGAUACCCUGGUAGUCCACGCUGUAAACGGUGGGUACUAGGUGUGGGGUCCAUUCCACGGGUUCCGUGCCGUAGCUAACGCUUUAAGUACCCCGCCUGGGGAGUACGGCCGCAAGGCUAAAACUCAAAGGAAUUGACGGGGCCCCGCACAAGCGGCGGAGCAUGCGGAUUAAUUCGAUGCAACGCGUAGAACCUUACCUGGGUUUGACAUGGAUCGGGAGUGCUCAGAGAUGGGUGUGCCUCUUUUGGGGUCGGUUCACAGGUGGUGCAUGCCUGUCGUCAGCUCGUGUCGUGAGAUGUUGGGUUAAGUCCCGCAACGAGCGCAACCCUUGUUCACUGUUGCCAGCACGUUAUGGUGGGGACUCAGUGGAGACCGCCGGGGUCAACUCGGAGGAAGGUGGGGAUGACGUCAAGUCAUCAUGCCCCUUAUGUCCAGGGCUUCACGCAUGCUACAAUGGCUGGUACAGAGAGUGGCGAGCCUGUGAGGGUGAGCGAAUCUCGGAAAGCCGGUCUCAGUUCGGAUUGGGGUCUGCAACUCGACCUCAUGAAGUCGGAGUCGCUAGUAAUCGCAGAUCAGCAACGCUGCGGUGAAUACGUUCCCGGGGCU